AAACCUAACACGUUUUGUGUUUAUAGCCUCUGUGUAGUUGUGCUCAAAACUUGUGAAACAAAUUAACACGUUUUUAUCAUGUCAUUUAACAUUCGUUAAUUUGUUCAUAGAUGACUCGAUUUAAUAUUACUUACUGAACGAUUUCCUCCUUUCCUAAGUUUUGGAGUUAGAAAAGAUAUCUUUUUCGUGUGAUCACGACAUUGUAUUCAACUCAAGGAAUUCCAAACCUGUUACUUUAAGGUCUUAUUUUAUGAUAAAGAACGUUACGCAUCCAGAACGCUCAACUUCCGAUAAUUUGGAGAAAUAUGGCACCGGUCCCGAUGAAAUAAAAGAAGGAUUUUAGAAGAUAUUCUAAACUUUAUGGAUUGUUAUUUCUAUAACGAAAGAUUUAUGUAUUUUUUAUUGUUCUGCACUUCUACGUCAGAGAACAUCUCUAGUUGGUCGUCAUCGUUCCUGCACAGCUUUCACUUCGAGGACUUUAUUCACUGAUCAUUGUAUUAUCAUAUUUCUAAUGACAGUUAUACUUUUGUAAUUAACUAUCAUGAUGUUAAUUUAUUAGAUGUGUUUUGGAACAUAAAUAUUUUUCGCUUUGUUAGAUAAUAAUCGAUAUUAUACUUACAUUUGACUAUUUUAUUAAUGACUCGUCAUAACAUAUCACAAAUCUAAUAAAUAUACCAAAUUAUUCUAACAAACAGAUAUUAAUUUCUAACAGGUAAUUAAAUUAUGAUAUAAAAAAAAACAGUUUCUAUUGCUUCAUUACUAACUGAUCAAGUUAAUACACUGUGAAUCAACCAACCAGAAUGACCAAUUGAAUUCCACAUGAUUGUUGUUUGGAAUAUCAAUAGAUAUGAUAUUCCAAAUAAUGACCAUGUGGAAUUAGUCAUCAUUAAAUUGUAGUAACAUAUCACUUCUUCUUCAACCAUUUUAUUCCCUUAUCUAAGCAAUAGCCUCCCUUUGAACGUCCUUCCAUUGAUCCAUAUCUCAUGUCGCUCUAAAAUGUUGUACUAGUUGAUCCCUCCAUCUCUGUCUUGGCCUUCCUCUUUUUCUUUUCCUGUCAUUUGGCUGAGAUAUUGUCGCCUUCCGUCUCCAUAUACUUUCCUCUUGUCUAGCUAUGUGUCCUGCCCAUCUCCAACAUUCUACAUUUUUUAAAACUGUCUCUACAACAUCUCCAACUCCAGUUCUCUCUUCCAUUUAGCUGUUUCUUUAUAGAUAGAGUUUUAUAGUUCCUGGUAUAUUUCUUUCCACAGCUUUUUGAAGUAUUUGUAAUAUUUACUUCAUUUCCCCAUUCAGUCUCAAGGUUUCACUUCCGCAAGUCAGUAGUUAAACAAUUUCCUUCCUAGAAUUAUUUAAAUUUUCAUUUCACGUAGAACAUAACCCAAUUUGCUAAAUUCUGUCCAGUUGACUCUUAUUGCCCUUUGGAUUUCUUCUUCCUAGCUUCCGUUCAAAAUAAUUUCUUGAGGUAUUUUUACAUACCAACUUCCUCGAUCUGUUUUUCCUUGUACAAUAUUGUUUCUUUUUUUGCAACAUUCAUUAAACAUCACUUUUGUUUUGACAUGUUCAUUGUCAAUCGAAACCAACUACUUUCUGUUUUUUCGCUCUUUGGCAGCAAGUUAUCAUUACUAUAUCAUUAGCAUAUCUAAGGCUAUGUAAUUUACCCCAUUUAAACCAAGACUUCUUUUAUCCCAGUAUAAUUUAUAAAAUACUUUUAUAUUGCCACAUGAAAUAGGUUAGGAAAUACAGUAUCUCCCUGUGUGAUUCCUCGCCUGAAUAUUUAUAAAUACUGUCUCUUUCGUCAUAAUUUAUAAUGAUCUUAGUUUGAACAUCAUCAUAAAUUAACAUACCACAGGUCCAAUAAAUAUAUUAGACUGUUUUAACAAUCAGAUCUUCGUUAUGAAAAAGUAAUUAAAUUAUAGUAUUUAAUAACAAUCAUUAGGUGGUUGUCGUUAGAAAGAUCAGUUCUCAUUAAUAUUAUAAGUAAUAUUAAAAUUUUGAAUAUGUAGUUGAGAAUUGUUAAGCAUAUCACAUUUCAUAUAAGCCCAGUGUUUUAUAUAAUGUAUGAGUAUUAGAAUAUUUGCAUUGUUUGGUAUUGGCUUUUGAGUGUAAAUUUCCAAUAAAGCAAUGGUUUGAAUAUUACAUAAAAUUAAUGAAGACGCGAACAAAACUAGUAUAAAAACAUUUGGUUGCCAUUUCAACUUCAUAUUAAACAGGAUGCUCGUGACUGUGUCAUUUGUGCAUUGUUUCAUGCACUCCAUUGUGCAUAUGAAAUGAAAACAUUUAGUUGAUAAAAUACUUUAACAUUAAAAAACGUUGAAACAAAAUCUAUUGGAAAGAAACGUGAAAUCAUAAAUUAUUCUCUUUAUACUGUGACUCUUUAGUAACUGGUAACUUAUACUUACAACAAUUUACUAAGUCAGUCAGAGUAACUUUCCGCCUUAUUUAAUUGUAGUAUUGACGCCUAUUGUAACUGAUUCGCUCAUAAUGGUGAACAUUGACUAUUAUAGAACUAUUUAAACUACGAUUACUUUGAUUCAUCCUGAAUUUCACCAUCAACAUAUAUUGAAGCCGAAAGGAUAUUUAACGAUUUUUCUUUCGCGCCUGAAACUUGACAAAGAUUAUAGUUUGCCACUCCAAUUUAGAAUACAAGAAACCACAAUAUUUAGACGUUAGAAAAUCGUGCAGCAUUUUUUAGACCUCGUCUAACUUGUCUGUCCGUAAAUGAUGCCAUAUCACGCAUACAUAUCAUUUGUAUAAAUCUGUGCAUUUUCAGCAAAUAUCUAAAAUAUUACACUCUUAAUAAACCUUGUCAUAUAUUCUUAUUUAACUUUUCUGUAUCGAGGUUACGUUCUUUGUAUCACACUUUAUAUUGUAAAUAUCAAAGAACAACAAACGUUCUAUCAUGAGAAGAAAUUUUAAACAGUACGUGCUACUGUUGUAUCAUCAUCAUCAUCAUCAUAGACAGCAAUACAUCGAUAAUUCUACCGAUGCUUAGCUGCCACACAAUCAUGAAUUAUUAUUGCUGUUGUAUGAUAAGUUCCAUAGGAGGAAUUUGAAUUAAAAGAAGUAAUUUCAUGCUUUGCACACUUAACUUUAUGAAGUCCUGUAUAAUUAUCAUGACCUAUUUAUUAAAGUGCAAAUACGAACAUCCUUUCUCACCGUUUUCAGUAAAAAGUUCUAUCAGAUUUAUAUGUAUCUACAUACAUAUAGUAUAAAAAAUAAUAAUACAUCUUCUUUGUUAUUUGCAUUUAAAUAGGAAAUUAAAAAAAAAUAAACGAACCAGCAUAAUUUUGCACAAAGUUAUUGGAAAAAUUAUCUUUCAAUAUAGAAGUUAUUGAUUUUAUCGGAAAUAUUUCUUACAUAACAUAAUAGUACAUUUGAAAUAAAUAUAUGAACGAGAUUUAUGAUGUUUCAAUACAUAAUCUUUAAUGAAAGAAAAUUGUUAUAUUAAAUCUAGCUAUCUUCUGAGGAAAACCUAGAUGUAUACUUAAUUGUAAAGGAAUAUCAUAGUACAAUAAUGUUUCAAGUAAAUAUUGAUAUGUAUUUUUUCCUGGUUUUUAUAUACGUGUAUAUGUGAAUUAAUCUAACUGCGUUUCAUUGUUUUAAACUAAUUAUAGGUGUUGAGUAAAAUAGUUCUAACGAUACAAUCUCUACUGGAGCUUGAAAGUGAUAAAAUAUUAUUUAUUCAAUCCUUUUUUACAAAUAAAGUUACAAAUUGCUCAAAUAUUACUGGAUAAAAGUAUCAAAAGUCUUUUUUAGUACUUAAACGAAAAUAGAAUCAACAUAUCAUUUUGAUUGUGUUUUAUACGUUACAAAACAAACUAUUUAAAGCAAAAAAGGGUAAGGUUCUUGAAUUAUAAAUAUAGGAUAACGUCAUGGUAUAUUUCCAGUGUAAACAGUAUCAUAAUAUAUCACCUUCUAGUUAUUAAACCUCAAAUAAUUUAUCUUAUUUACCUUUUUAACCACCUUCGCCAAUUUGUGUCAACAUUUAAUUUGUUUUCAUUAAAUUUAAUUGUUUUUAUUUUUUAGCCCGUAUUGCGAUAGUGUUUUAAGAAAACCGAUUAAAUGUUAUUAGGAUGAGUCAUGUAAUACAUUCACUUUACAAAAACGUAUGAAGGGUAGGAGAAAAUGCUAAAUUUAUGUUGUGUUAUAAUUUUAGCUAAUGGUUGCGUAUGGAAAGAUAUCAAAUGAAUUUUGGCGUUUUGCGAAGAAACAGUUAAAUAUACAUAAAAGUAUUAAGUUAAAAAGUAUGUCAAUUUGUUAUUUAAACUUUCGCUUUAGCUUGAUUUGUGUGACUUUUCUGAAGGGUAAGUGCAAUGCUGCUUGUUGAAAUUCUUGUGUAAGAAGUUAAAUGAAUUUACCUGACGUAGCUAAACAAUUAAUCAAAAAAAUGCUCAAUUUAAUUUGUAGCAACCCUGGAAACCAUACACUAGACUUACACUUCGAAACAGCCAGAUUUAAUAAAUUUCAUAUUAAUUUCAGUGCGUUAGACUUCUACUUACUAAUACAUCCUGACUCGAAUUAAGGUACACGUGAUCGUUCAUUAGAUUUAUACGAUGCUUUACAUAUACAUUAUCAUAUAGUACUCUACAUGGUUUCUACACAUGUUCUGCUAUAUUUGAAGAGCUUCGUUUACACCCAAGAAUCAUGUUAUGGCUACUAAGUUUGUGAUUUAGGAAGCAUUCUUCUUUUUAUAAUACAUUGUGUGUUUUUGACUUACCUUCAGUAUAUUUAUGGGGAACAUGAAGUAUUUUGUGUUUUUGAUUUACUUUCAGUCUAUUUGUGCUAGAAAUGCUGUAUUUUGUUUUUGACUUAUCUUCAUUCUAGUUGUUCUAGAGACGCAGUAUUUUGCGUUUUUGACUUGCCUUCAGUCUAUGUAUGGUAAAGAUGCAUAUUUUGUGUUUAUGACUUACCUUCAGUUUAUUUAUAUUAGACAUGCAGUAUUGCGUGUUUUCGACUUACCCUUAGAAUAUUAGCAGUAUUUCUUGUUUUAACUUAUUUUUAUUCUAUUUAUUGUAGGCAUGAAGUAUUUUGUGUUCUUGACUUACUUCAGUCUAUUUAUGGUGGACAUGCAGUAUUUUGUAUUUUUGACUUACCUUCAAGUUACUUAUGCUAGACAUGAGGUAUUUUGUGUUUUUGGCUUACCUUCAUUCGAUUUAUUUUAGGUAUGUAAUACGUUGUGUUUUUAACUUGCAGAAUAUUCAUGCUAGACAUGCAUUAUUUUGUGCUUUUAUUUUAACUUCAUUUUAUUUGCCUGGACAUGAGGUAUUUUGUGUUUUUGAAUCACUUUCAUUCUAGCUAUAUAGUAUUUUGUGUUUUUGACUUGCCUUCAGUCUAUUUAUGUUAGACAUGCAGUAUUUUGUGUUUUCAUUUUCCUACAGUCUGUUUAUGUUAGACAUGUAGUAUUUUAUGUUUUUGAGUUGACUUCAUUUGCAGUAUUUUGUGUUUUUGACUCGUCUUUAGUCUAUUUAUUCUAGAGAUGCAGUAUUCUGUGUUUUUGAUUUACCUUCAGUCUAUUUAUAUUAGAUAUGUAGUAUUUCAUGUUUUGGUGUCUCUCCCAGUCUAUUUACGUUGGACAUACAGUAUUUCGUGUUUUUGGCUUACCUUCAGCCUACUUAUGUUAGACGUGGAGUAUUUUUAUGUUUUUGGCUUACUUUCGUACUAUUGUUCCUAGACACGCAGUAUUUUCAGUUUUUGCUUAAUUUUCAGCUACUUAUGCUAGACAUGCAAUAUUUUGUGUUUUGGCUUAUAUUCAAACCAAUUAUGCUGGAAUUUGUAUUUUUGACGUAACUUCAGUCUAUUUAUAUUAGACAUGCAGUAUUUUGUGUUUUUAACUUACCUUCAGUCUAUUGAUGCUGAACGUGUAGUAUUUUGUGUUUUUGUCUUACCUUCAACAUAUUUGUAUUAGACAUGCAGUAUUUUAUGUUUUUGACUUACCCUUUAUUCAUUUAUGUCGGACAUGCAAUAUUUUGUGUUUCUGAGUCACCUUCAGUCUAUUUAUGUUGUAUGUACAGUAUUUUAUAUUUUUGGUUUACCUUCAGCCUAUUUAUGAUGAACAUACAGUAUUUUGUGUAGUAUUUGGUAUGUUUGACUUGCUUUCAGUCUAUUUGUAUUAGACAUACAGUAUUUCGUGUUUUUGACUUACAUUCAGUCUAGUUGGGUUUUUAGCUUACUUUGAGGUUAUUUAUGCUAAAAAUGCUGUAUUUUGUGUUUUUGACUUAUCCUCAGUAUACCUAUGCUAGAGAUAAAGUAUUUUGUGUUUUUGACCUACCUUCAAUCUAUUUAUUCUAGACAAAUAGCUUUUUUGGUUUUCGCUUUUACGGUAUUUAUUUUCUCUAGUUUAAAAUGUGAACCUGUUGCAACUGUGAACUAAUAUUUCUUUAGUUGUGCUAGAGUGCGAAAUUAAACAGAUCAUUUGCCAUGUCUGUCGUGAUUUCAUUAGCUGAGGCCAUAGUACAUAUAAUCAGACUACCUGGUGGUUACUCAAAGCGUCUUAGGUAGUUGUUUUUUAAUGGUUAGUUAAAUCAGAUAAAAUACUGCACAGCUUUAUAUGAAUUAAUAACUCUAAUAAUUUCUUAAAUGAAAUUUAAUACCAGUACAUUUUACUUAAUUAACUGUUUGUUGGUUUUGUAAUUGAAAGAUUCCAUUUAAUUUCACUUUAUGAUCUAGCACAAAUAUCAAUUUAUUCGCGUUGAAAAACAAAAACACAAAAUGUGUAAAAGGUUGUAACUUUCAGAUUAUGAUUCUUUACGAAACUUUCUCAUGCUAGAAACUUCGUUUGAAUUUUAUAUUUUCCCUUGUUUGAUAACAUAAUAGCUGUGACUUAAUGAAAUUUAACUUUUAACUUAGCUAAAAGCCAUUAAUUUAUGUUUUCACAUUAUGAAAAUUCUAUCCAAAAAUUGUAAAGAGGAACAUUCAUUAAUUUUCUAUUUACAUUACUGGUUUCGCACAGAUGACUCAAGAUAAUGAAUAAAGUCAAAUUAAUUUAAAAGGCUGAGAAUAUUGAGACGAAACUUUCAUACAAGUGAUGCAAUUUAUGUAAGUUAAUUUCACGUAACACUCUCAGAAUUGAUAGUGAAAUGCUGAUUAAAUUGGCAAACAUAAUUUUUAUUGUUUAUUACAUAAUCUGUCAAUUACAAAGAUAUCUAAUUAUUGAAAAGAAACUCGUUGUAUGGGCACUAAGCAGUUUAUUUAAUAGUUCUAGUUGGGGUAUCCAAAAAGCUAUGUUUGUUCAAUAAUUUUGUAUAUCAAUGAACUGAAGUUAAUAACUAUUUUUGCUUUCUUUCGUAAGAUUGUUAAUGUUUUGAGCUCAGGGUGAAAUAUUGACUUCCAUAUAUUUAGAAGCAGACAUUCUUUCAAUGAUACAAAACAAAUUUUUUUAUAUGUGGUUGAAUAUCUCUGUCGUAUUGCCAAGUAUUGAUUAGUAGAUUUAAAUGUAUUGAUGCAAUAAAAAUUGUUAUAAACUUUA
RNAcentral lists this long non-coding RNA (7462 nucleotides) under Limulus polyphemus (Atlantic horseshoe crab). RNAcentral's name for it is "uncharacterized LOC111083207". The record is from RNAcentral. Lineage: Eukaryota; Metazoa; Arthropoda; Merostomata; Xiphosura; Limulidae.